Molecule: ribosomal RNA, 403 nt
Filed under: uncultured Acidimicrobiaceae bacterium
Lineage: Bacteria; Bacillati; Actinomycetota; Acidimicrobiia; Acidimicrobiales; Acidimicrobiaceae
Description: bacterial SSU rRNA
Rfam family: Bacterial small subunit ribosomal RNA
Source: RNAcentral
AGUGGGGAAUCUUGCACAAUGGGCGAAAGCCUGAUGCAGCAACGCCGCGUGCGGGAAGAAGGCCCUAGGGUUGUAAACCGCUUUCAGCAGGGAAGAAAAUGACGGUACCUGUAGAAGAAGGUGCGGCCAACUACGUGCCAGCAGCCGCGGUGACACGUAGGCACCAAGCGUUGUCCGGAUUUAUUGGGCGUAAAGAGCUCGUAGGCGGUUCGGUAAGUCGGGUGUGAAAACUCUGGGCUCAACCCAGAGCCGCCACCCGAUACUGCUGUGACUCGAGUGCGGUAGGGGAGCGGGGAAUUCCUGGUGUAGCGGUGAAAUGCGCAGAUAUCAGGAGGAACACCAGUGGCGAAGGCGCCGCUCUGGGCCGUGACUGACGCUGAGGAGCGAAAGCGUGGGUAGCAAA